This 451-nucleotide ribosomal RNA is filed under the name uncultured bacterium. RNAcentral describes it as "bacterial SSU rRNA". It matches the Rfam family "Bacterial small subunit ribosomal RNA", at positions 354 to 796 of the family's 1533-position model. The record is from RNAcentral.
GUGGGGAAUAUUGGACAAUGGGGGGAACCCUGAUCCAGCCAUGCCGCGUGUGUGAAGAAGGCCUUUUGGUUGUAAAGCACUUUAAGCGAGGAGGAGGCGCCCUAGAUUAAUACUCUAGGAGCGUGGACGUUACUCGCAGAAUAAGCACCGGCUAACUCUGUGCCAGCAGCCGCGGUAAUACAGAGGGUGCGAGCGUUAAUCGGAUUUACUGGGCGUAAAGCGUACGUAGGCGGCUUUUUAAGUCGGAUGUGAAAUCCCUGAGCUUAACUUAGGAAUUGCAUUCGAUACUGGUUGGCUAGAGUAUGGGAGAGGAUGGUAGAAUUCCAGGUGUAGCGGUGAAAUGCGUAGAGAUCUGGAGGAAUACCGAUGGCGAAGGCAGCCAUCUGGCCUAAUACUGACACUGAGGUGCGAAAGCAUGGGGAGCAAACAGGAUUAGAUACCCUAGUAGUCC